ACCUGUUACCAAUCCUGAAGACGAACUAUCCGUGGUCGGCUUUGCAGAGGGUGUGGGUGUCAUCUUCGUUUGCUCAGGUGCUGGCUUGUUCAUGAUCAAGCUCAGUUCUGGGCAGGUUAAGAAGGUUGAUGAGCCCGGAGAAUACUUUAGCGUGCUGCCCUACAUGAGCUUCUACCUUCCAAGCAAUAGUGGUGGACAUGAUGCAACUGAUCUUCCGCACAAUACUUAAGAGGACUUUCUGUCGUGAUGUACUGGUUAGGCAGGUAUCUACUACAAUAACAUUCUGGUGGCUGGGAUGCAGAAAUGGGCUGUUGGGUAAUUUCUUCCAUUUGUAUGCUCGACGCGGAGAUCGGCCCUCUAUGUAGCUUUCAAGUGCACU
Molecule: long non-coding RNA, 379 nt
Organism: Lolium rigidum
Lineage: Eukaryota; Viridiplantae; Streptophyta; Magnoliopsida; Poales; Poaceae
Exons: 3
Source: RefSeq, a predicted model, not a curated record